This 459-nucleotide ribosomal RNA is filed under the name uncultured bacterium. RNAcentral describes it as "partial 16S ribosomal RNA". It matches the Rfam family "Bacterial small subunit ribosomal RNA", at positions 338 to 795 of the family's 1533-position model. The record is from RNAcentral.
CCUACGGGUGGCAGCAGUGAGGAAUAUUGGUCAAUGGGCGGGAGGCUGAACCAGCCAAGCCGCGUGAGGGACGACGGCCCUACGGGUUGUAAACCUCUUUUGUCGGGGAGCAAAGAGAGUCACGUGUGACCGAUUGAGAGUACCUGACGAAAAAGCAUCGGCUAACUCCGUGCCAGCAGCCGCGGUAAUACGGAGGAUGCGAGCGUUAUCCGGAUUUAUUGGGUUUAAAGGGUGCGCAGGCGGAUGUGUAAGUCAGCGGUCAAAUACCGGGGCUCAACACCGUGCUGCCGGUGAAACUGGAGGCCUUGAGUGCGCGAGAAGUAUGCGGAAUGCGUGGUGUAGCGGUGAAAUGCAUAGAUAUCACGCAGAACUCCGAUUGCGAAGGCAGCAUGCCGGCGCGGAACUGACGCUGAUGCACGAAAGCGUGGGUAUCGAACAGGAUUAGAUACCCGGGUAGUC